UGCGGAUUAGAGUAACGGUAACUCAACACUCUUUGAAAGUGUUGUUGGAGGUUCGAAUCCUCCAUCCGCAG
RNAcentral lists this transfer RNA (71 nucleotides) under Ktedonobacteraceae bacterium. Its description in RNAcentral is "tRNA-Gln". It matches the Rfam family "tRNA". From Rfam's summary of the family: Transfer RNA (tRNA) molecules are approximately 80 nucleotides in length. Their secondary structure includes four short double-helical elements and three loops (D, anti-codon, and T loops). Further hydrogen bonds mediate the characteristic L-shaped molecular structure. tRNAs have two regions of fundamental functional importance: the anti-codon, which is responsible for specific mRNA codon recognition, and the 3' end, to which the tRNAs corresponding amino acid is attached (by aminoacyl-tRNA synthetases). tRNAs cope with the degeneracy of the genetic code in two manners: having more than one tRNA (with a specific anti-codon) for a particular amino acid; and 'wobble' base-pairing, i.e. permitting non-standard base-pairing at the 3rd anti-codon position. The record is from RNAcentral. Lineage: Bacteria; Bacillati; Chloroflexota; Ktedonobacteria; Ktedonobacterales; Ktedonobacteraceae.